This 519-nucleotide ribosomal RNA is filed under the name Triticum aestivum (bread wheat). RNAcentral describes it as "partial small subunit ribosomal RNA". Lineage: Eukaryota; Viridiplantae; Streptophyta; Magnoliopsida; Poales; Poaceae. The record is from RNAcentral.
AUGCAUGUGAGGGUGAGCAAUGAGCUUGGCGCGGGCAACCCCAAGUCAGCGGCGUUCUCAGUUGUGGUGGUGACGAUGUUGUCAUUCGUCCUGUCAGUUAUAAUCUCGGUAGUCAUCCUGCUCUGCAAUGAUUACAUCAGCUACAUUUACACUGACGGCGAAAAUGUGGCAGCGGCCGUGUCCAAGAUGACCCCACUCCUGGCACUCACUAUAAUCCUCAAUGGCACCCAACCAGUGCUAUCAGGGGUAGCCGUGGGCUGUGGUUGGCAAGCGUUUGUCGCCUAUGUCAACAUCGGCUGCUACUAUGCCGUGGGCAUCCCCCUUGGUUUCCUCCUCGGCUUCUACUUCGACCUCGGUGCAGUGGGCAUAUGGAGUGGUAUGAUUGGAGGUACAUUGAUGCAGACUAUGAUCCUAGUGUGGGUUACCUUGAGGGCAGACUGGAACAAAGAGGUCGCUGAUGCUAUGAAAAGAUUGCAGAGGUGGGAAGACAAGACACCUCUAUUGGUAGGGCAAGAAUGA